Long non-coding RNA from Anopheles coluzzii, 7233 nucleotides. RefSeq lists it as uncharacterized. Lineage: Eukaryota; Metazoa; Arthropoda; Insecta; Diptera; Culicidae. The record is from RefSeq and is a predicted model, not a curated record. The transcript is spliced from 3 exons.
AUGAUUACAAAUUGGUUUUUAUUCUUUUAUUUUAUUCUACAGUAUCGCGGACGAAAUCGCACGUUAAACAUUAUCUGUCAAAUUCCAUAUAAUAUUUUGACAGGCCUUCCGAAAAAAUCGCAUCCGAUGGAGCACAGACACGGGCCUAAGUGAUAGACAAUCGUGUUUUUCAAAUCGAGGAAUACUAACAGACUGUUGACAGUUGUUAAUUGGAAUGGAACACCCUGUAUAGUGCAGAUAGUUUUCUGCUGUCCACGGUGAUACUACACACUAGUGAUGCGCGUUGCGUUCCGAACCUGCCAGGUGCGAUCCGUUCCAGCAUGCAAGCAUCCGGACCGCGAUCCUUAUUUUUAACACAAGCAGGUUCAAACUGAACCUGUUGCUCCCACCGUUCUUUGUGAUCCGACCUGAACCGACUGUUAUCAACGAUCUUAUCGAUUCGAUCUGAACGGGCUGCUCUCAGCGUUCUCGGUGAUCUGUGCUGGGUCGGAUGCUCUCAGUGCUUAUUACGAUCCGGCCUAGAACGCACGACAUUCUACUCUCUUUGUAUGAUGAGUCGGUUUGCCGUAAACAAAUCAGCCAGGUUCAGUUUAAACCUGUUUCUCUCAGCGUUCUUUUCGAUCCAGUCUGGAACGCACGAUCAUCUGCUCUCUUUCAUACGAUGGGCCGAUUUGGUACGUACAAAGGAAGCAGGUAAAAUCUGAACCUGUUUCUCGUAUCUGUUCUCUUUCAUACGAUGGGUCGAUUUGGUACGUACAAAGGAAGCAGGUAAAAUCUGAACCUGUUUCUCUCAGCGUUCUUUUCGUUCCGGUAAAGAACGGCGUUCUCUUCUCUUUUGCUUCUUUCUAGUAUGAAUUCUGUCACACUAGUAUGAAUUCUGUGAAUUUCACAUUCUGUCUAUGUGAGUGAUAACAGCGCAAGCCAUACUCUCUCAGUCAAAGAGAUAACGGUAUAACACCUGAGCCGUGAAGCCAGAGAAGGAUAGAGAUUUGUGAUUGGUGGGAAGCUAAUCGCCAAAAUUUAAAGAGACAAUCCUGCACUAACGAUAAGCGCAAUGAAUGAAAUGUUUCUCUUCUGCCAUAUGGAUGUUAACAGUAUAGGUGCGUUAUUUGGACUGCAUUGUGGUAGUCAAUGACUUGCUAUGAUUUGGGUGCUAAGCUGCUUCGUUGUACAUGCAUCUCCAAUGAACUCGAUUGAAUUUUUAUCUGAGAUGGAACUAAAUAUUUAAGGUGCAUGACACGUUUAGCCUUCCGCAAUAAUUUAUUUAACGCCGUGAAACAGCGCUAUUCUUAACGACAAUUAUAGUGCACUACUGCACACUUUCACACCGGUAGUUCACCGUACAGUAUAAUGUCAACCUUACAGAAACAACUUAACAGUCUAUGUAUUUUAUAUAAACCACUGUUAUUCGAUUCUAUCUGCUUCUAUUAAGAAAUAUUAAUUCAAUCAAUGUAGUGUAAAUUAAUCCAUACGAAAUUUAACAAGUCAAUUAAACUUGUAAGCUUUUUGAUUUUGCUUCAAAACUUCAUAUGCGUUCCAACAAAUUUCUGAUUCACUUCUUUAUUUAGAAGUAUAAAAGGGAAUAAUGAUUAAUUUUAAUGAAAAAGGAACUGUAUAGCGGGCUACUUAAGUUAAGCGUUUUAAUGGUAGUACAAGAAUAGUUUUACACAUUCAGUAAACUAAUAUUUAGCUUUGUUUAAUUGAAACUGUGUGAUUACUGCACAAAAAAUAUAUUACACAAUAUUCGAUGAAUACUUUCAAGUUAACCAUAUAUAAAGUGAGCAACUGAAAAAGAGUAACCAUGGCAGGUCAUCUCGAACCUGCGUUCCGCGUUCCUUUCUUUUUCUCCAGAUUGGCAGGUUCGUCCCGUUCCUCAAUUUUCAGAACUAUUCCCAUCACUAUUACUUACCAUCCUUUAGAUAACGAGUUUUGAAAACGUAUGAUAUAAUAAUUUGGAAUUGAAGUAUCGAAGCAUAGUGAACCGGGAAAACUCAAAAAAAAAAAAUCCGGGAAAAAACCGGGAAAAAAACCGAGAAUUUACAAUCCUGAUUCGAGUGGCCACCCUGAAGAACGACAAUAUUCUGAACUUCAAAUUAUUGAAACCCGUUCCAUCAAAAGGCUUAAUCUUGAGGAACUUCUCUUCAUCUCCCAUCGUGAUGAUUUUCUCUAAUGACUUAAAGAAUCUUCUAGGCUUGAUUAGCACUGGGUUAUUUUAGGCCCAUAACCUUUUAAAAGAGCUAAAACACCUUUGCUGUUUGGUGGUUGAAAGAGGAAUUAAAAUUUUACUAACUACAUUCUGUUAACACUAUUUCAUAGAAUCCUACGAUCAAUUGUACACCGGUAUUUCAUCGCAUACUUAAAUCAAUUGUAAAGGCCGGGCUACAUUGAUCGUACUCGCAAGUGUAAUUUCGAUUUUCACUAGCGCAAUUGGCGGCGGGUGGUGGAAGCUUUUUUUGGUCGUCGGGGGAAUGGUCGUGGCGGAUCUCAAAAUUAAUUAGUUUUUUUCACCGUUUUUUUAUGCGAAAACGGCUGAAAUACUUGCACAACAUAUUUAUGUAUCAAUUACAAAGCUUUCCCAGUCCAGUUAAAGUGAAAAACAUUUAAAAAUAACGUAUUUUUGGAGCAGCCUCAAAUUGUUUGGCAAAAUGCUUCGGUUAGCCGCCGCCAGAUGCACUAGUGAAAAUCGAAAUUAUACUUGCGAGUACGAUCAUUGUAGCCCGGCCUUAAACUUCAACAAUAAUGUCUAGUGAACAAUUUGAAGUGUUUAAAGGCUGGGAGACAUUAAUCGUACUCGCUAGUGUAAUUUUUAUUUUCACUAGCGCAUCUGGCGACGACCAGCGCAAGCUAGAUGUCGGUAUAAUUUAUGUGUCAAAAUUAUUCAUACUUGGUGUCAUCAAGUUUCGACCAUGCUACUUGUAUGCCGUUUAAAAUGUUGAUAAACGUCCAUACAUUGCAACAAAGUAGGCCGUUAGUUGUUGGACAAAUGGUCAAAGCAAACAAAGGGCUGGGCAACAUUUUUGUCCAUUUAUACUAUAAAAAUUAUACUACGGAGUACGAUCAAUGUAGCCCGGCCUUAAUAAAACUCUGACACAUCCAGUAUACCAGGCAGGCAUAAUUACCCUUUCACAUGACUGUACAAUUCAAACUACAGAAAUUUAAAAUUAAACCAACACUGUUUACUUACUUAUCCGGCACUACAACCGCUUUGCGGUCUUGGCCUGCCUCAAGAGUGUCCGAAACCGCUCACGGUCUUAUCCCGGCCUUAAUGGCGGACGCCUCCACGCCAUCUUGCCACCUCAAUUUGGGCCUACCACGCCUCCUCUGUCCUUGUGGACGGCCUAAAGAGACUUUACUGACUGGGUCGUCAGUUUCCAUGCGUACAACAAGGCCAGCUCACCGGAGCCUGGCGAGCUGUGAGACAGUGUUGAUACGCUGUACGACAGUGAGGUCGCCGUAUAUCUCGUAUAGCUCGUCAAUAUAGCGGCUCCUCCAUUGUCCUUCCACACAUACGGGGCCAAGUAUCCUUCUGAGCAUCUUCCUCUCGAACGCGACUAAGAGGGUUUCGUCAGAUUUGGACAGUGUCCAUGUCUCAGAGGCGUAUGUGAGUACCGGAACUAUAUAGGUACAAUAUAGUCCCAGCUCCGUUCGUCGCGACAGGUUCUUUGAGGUGAACUGAUUUUUCAGGCUGUAGAAUGACCGGUUGGCAGCCAGCAUCCUUGCGCGCAACUCAGCUUCCAUACUGUUGUCGUUGCUGACCUUUGACCCCAGAUAGGUGAAUUCUGGGACGACUUCAAAAGUGCGUUCACCUAUCUGUACAUCACGCUUACGUAGAUUUGGAUUAUUCACCAAUCGAUAUAAGAAGUAAAAUAAAUCUAUAAAUUCGGUGUCCAUCUUUCCCUACAACAAAGUGUCCGUCUUUCCCGCUUUAGGGUCAAGGUGUUUAAGCCACCAGAAAACAAUAUUUUAUGUUGCUUUCUUUCUCGUUCUUUCGCCAGUUUUUUCAUUGAUGAUCACGACAACUCAUUCAUGAAAUAAAACUUCCGGAAAUAUAAACAAUACAAGUUGUAGAGCUUAAGAUCCGCAGUAAUCAAAUUAGGUCCACAAGGGUGCACACGAUUGAAAAUUUGUUUUGUUCGUAAAUUUAACCAAUUUUGCAUAUAUUAUGCCAAAAAUGUUCUUAAAUUUGUUGUUUAACUUUAAGUUUGGAUGCUUCAUUGUUGAUUUUUUCGAAAAUUACUUUUUUCAUGCAUUUAUGAGAAGUGUCCAUCUUACCCGCAGUGUCCGUCUUUACCUACCUUCCCCUCUUCUAUGUUGGUGCGAUAUUCAAUAAAUCGAAUUACGUUGGUGUAUGGUGUGCACUGUAUCAUUUUGGAAAGGACCCUGGCAAUAAAGGGGGAGGGGGCUAAUAAAACGAACCCACCGGUCACCAGCACUCAGAGAUCCUUUGAAUACGCGCUUGAAUAAGAACUUGAAUUGGCGAAAUUAUUCAACUGAUCCGUCGAAAUUAUUCAAGUAAAUUAUUCAGCGCUUGGCGGAUAAACCCCGUAAAAAAUGGAGUUUUGUUUAAUUUGAGGUAAGUAAAAGUGAUUAAAAUUAUCAACCAACAUCCCCCCUUCUAAUUAAUAUAAUUUUUCUGCCAUUUCAUGUGUGUUUCACGGCGAACGGAGACAACAAAAAUCUGUGGCUGUGUCGUAGUGUUGGAGCAGUGGCCCGUACAGUGCAGCGAGAAAAACCUGGAGCAACAGCGAUGAGGAGCAGAAAGUGCUGUGCUGAAUUUGUUUUUUUUUUCACUGUGCGACUGUAAAAAGUGUUUUUUUUUUUUAAUUAUGUGCGUUAAUUUAGAAUUAAGUGCAGUGAUUAUUGUGCAAGUGUUGUGUUCUUUUGUAUUCUAUGUUGGUUCGAUAUUCAAUAAAUCGAAUUACGAUAGUAUAAUGGUGUGCACUGUAUCAUUUCGGAAAGAAAUCCUGCCAAAAAAGGGGGAGGGGACUAAUUAAACGAAGGUUCGUGCCGAACUCCGUUCGGGUUCGUUUCGGCUUCGGGUUACUUCGAGUGCUUAUAUGCCGGGCUACAUUGGUCGUACUCGCAAGUGUAAUUUUUAUUUUCACUAGCGCAUCUGGCGACGACCAGCGCAAGCUAGAUGUCGGUAUAAUUUAUGUGUCAAAAUUAUUCAUACUUGGUGUCUCAUCAAGUUUCGAGCAGGCUACUUGUAUGCCGUAUGAAAUGUUUAUAAACGUCCAUAAAUUGCAACAAAAUAGGCCGUUAAUUGUUGUUGGUGGAUAAAUCGUCAUUCAUGCAAAGCGCUAAGCAACAUUUUUCCCCAUCUUUCAACAUCUUUCCAUCAUUGGGUAAAAUUAUAGCCUCCUGGACCCAAAACACUUUUUGACAGAUAAAUUAUACCAGCCUCUAGCUUCGACCCGCCGCCGCUAGAUGGCGUACGCGUUCACAAAAAUUACACUCAGGAUUGAUCGUACUCUAUGGUGUAAUUUUAAUUUUCACUAGCGCACCUGGCGGCGGCUGACCGAAGCAUUUUUCCAAACAAUUUGGAGCCGCUUUAGAAAAUAUGUAAUUUUUCCAUGUUUUUAACCUAAUUUGGACAAGAAAAGUUUUGUAAAAGGUAGAUGCACAUGUCCUACAAGCAUUGCAUCGAUUUUCAUUGCAAAAAACGAUGGAAAAACAACUUAAAUUUGAGAUCCGGCACGACCAUUCCCUCGACGACCAAAAAAAGCUUCCACCAGCCGCCGCCAGAUGCGCUAGUGAAAAUCGAAAUUACACUUGGGAGUACGAUCAAUGUAGCCCGGCCUUAAUAUUCGUCAACUUUUUUUAAGUAUGCCCAAGUAGCAACCGAAGCCUGUUUCUCGCAGUUUCAAUCCCUUCAUGUCCAAAAACUGCCUUCGCUCACUAUUCCUAUCCCAUUUCUACGUUUGUUGCGUUCUCGCUCAUCAGGGUGUUAGUCAAUUAUCUCUUGCCACACUAAGAUAAUUCUCCUGCACACUUCGUGUGUUAGAUCCCUCCCUAUUGAACAGAAGUCAUUUUCUUCCAUCGCAUCUGGGUGUUUGCUCUUUUCCAUCCAAGCCAAAGAGCGACUUCAGUGUGCUCUGAACCGUGGACGUGACAUUGUAUGUUUGUGUGCUGCGUGAAAUCUUUUUCUUGCUUAAAACACUUUCCCGUACUGCACCAUCCGCGGUGUUCUUUCUGCUUCAUCGGAGGACGAUUUUUUAUCAUCUAAUUGUUUGGUUUCAGAUGUGUGCUGCUACCGCUAGCUGUUCCUCAAACUUCUUAAAAAGUGUGACACUGUGUGCACAGGCGUUCAAGUUUCAAUUGAUCCUCAAGCACAAAGCCUUCAUACAACACCGCGGUUGAGGUGCGCCAAAUCUGAUGACAUCUUUCCUGAACCAAGCAGGCUGAACACGCGCACCACCACGGGCUCCAGCGCGGUGUGAAGAGGGAAGAAGAAAAGACAGAAUUGGAAACAGCCGCACCAGGCUUCCAACCACCGUGUGUGUAUGUAAGUAUGUGAGAACACAUGUGUGAAUCCUCUUGUGGGAACUGCAAAAAGAAGAGAAUAAAGAGUGUGAAGCAGCUAGGCUGCCGCAACCAAAUCAAGAGAGUGAAUUCUCAUUUCAAUCCGAAAAACUGGGAGAGAGUGAUGACAUGCGGGAGAGAAUAAAACUAGAAACACGAGAGAGGGCCACACGAAGCGCUUUCGGGGUUUUUUUUUUGCCACCGCGCACAUUUUGCUUUAUGCGCGCGACUAAGUGAGCCUUGAUGAGCGCGAUGGCUCCCAUACAAAGGCCUUCGGCUUUGCUAGCUGGGAGUUAGUGAUGGGAAUAGUUCCGAAAAUUGAGGAACGGAACGAACCUGCCAAUCUGGAGAAAAAGAACGGAACGCGGAACGCAGGUUCGAGAUGACCUGCCAUGGUUACGCUUUUUCAGUUGCUCACUUUAUAUAUGGCUAACUUGAAAGUAUUCAUCGAAUAUUGUGUAAUAUAUUUUUUGUGCAGUAAUCACACAGUUUCAAUUAAAACAAAGCUAAAUAUUAGUUUACUGAAUGUGUAAAACUAUUCUUGUACUACCAUUAAAACGCUUAACUUAAGUAGCCCGCUAUACAGUUCCUUUUUCAUUAAAAUUAAUCAUUAUUCCCUUUUAUACUUCUAAAUAAAGAAGUGAAUCAGAAAUUUGUUGGAACGCAUAUGAAGUUUUGAAGCAAAAUCAAAAAGCUUACAAGUUUAAUUGA